Molecule: long non-coding RNA, 179 nt
Organism: Sphaerodactylus townsendi
Lineage: Eukaryota; Metazoa; Chordata; Lepidosauria; Squamata; Sphaerodactylidae
Exons: 3
Source: RefSeq, a predicted model, not a curated record
CUGUUCAGCACACUUCUCAGAUUUACCGCAGAAGUCACAGACAGGACAAUACUGGGAAAGGAGCCUCAAAGCAACUUACAAUUGCCUUCCUUCUUCCCCAACAGACACCUUGUAAGAAAUGCUUCUUCCGACAAUCCUCCUCCUCUUGGCUGCUGUCCUGCACCAGUCUCUAGGACAGG